Molecule: ribosomal RNA, 392 nt
Filed under: uncultured bacterium
Lineage: Bacteria
Description: partial 16S ribosomal RNA
Rfam family: Bacterial small subunit ribosomal RNA
Source: RNAcentral
AUACGUAGGGGGCGAGCGCUGUCCGGAAUUAUUGGGCGUAAAGGGUUCGCAGGCGGUCUGAUAAGUCAGAUGUGAAAGGCAAUGGCUCAACCAUUGUAAGCAUUUGAAACUGUCAGACUUGAGUUAAGGAGAGGAAAGUGGAAUUCCUAGUGUAGCGGUGAAAUGCGUAGAUAUUAGGAGGAAUACCAGUGGCGAAGGCGACUUUCUGGACUUAUACUGACGCUGAGGAACGAAAGCGUGGGGAGCAAACAGGAUUAGAUACCCUGGUAGUCCACGCCGUAAACGAUGAGUGCUAGGUGUUGGGGGUCAAACCUCGGUGCCGCAGCUAACGCAUUAAGCACUCCGCCUGGGGAGUACGUACGCAAGUAUGAAACUCAAAUGAAUUGACGGGG